Molecule: long non-coding RNA, 1187 nt
Organism: Olea europaea var. sylvestris
Lineage: Eukaryota; Viridiplantae; Streptophyta; Magnoliopsida; Lamiales; Oleaceae
Exons: 4
Source: RefSeq, a predicted model, not a curated record
GAAUUGAACAGAGAGAUGAAUUGUUUCUAAUUAAAUGAGUGCUGGAGGCUUUUUUGAGAAAAAAAAAAUUGAGAAAUACCAUGAAGAUAAGAGAGGGAGGAGUAUUGGAUUUGUUUUACUUAAAAAAUGAGGAAGGAACAAUUGUAGCUAACAGUAAAAUUGGCAUAUUCCCCUAAAUUAACUCUGACUACAGUAAAUACAUUAAACUGCACACAUUGGACAGUCAGUGAACCAGAAAAAUGUAGGUUUUGGAAAUUGUUUAUUCUAGGCCCCAAGCGCCGGUGCAACUAGUUAAACUAACUUCCUAAAAGUAGUCCUUUCUGACAUUCUUCUCCUCAAACUCGUGAAUAUAGACAUUCUUUUUAUUUUACACAAUAAAUGUCAUUCUAAUUCACAGAAAUAAAAUUGCUGGUUCAUUCAUAUCUUGCAAUUUUAACAUUGUUUCGAGAUAGUGUUAAGCAUUCUUUAUACUGAAUGUCAGGCUGGUGUUCGUGAGUGUGAACCUCCAAGUUUUCCAGUUCCUCAACGCGCUACUGAUUACAUGAGUGUCAACCAUGAGAAGGAGGCUGAGAUUUCAAAUAUUGCUUCUGUCAUGAGAAAUGGAAUUAGCUAUGUCACUGAGUACUGAAGUGUGGGAGCUUAUAAAAAGGUGGUUUUUAUUAUGGAGUUCACUAUUUCAAGUUGCCAGUGCAAGAUGUUUGAUGACAGGCUUCAGUAGUAACCAUGACAUGGAAACCUCCAGAUCUCUGCAUUUUGUGCUUCCAGUUGGUAAUAAUAGGGCAUUUUGGGACAGGCAUCACCAGUUCCAAAGCCAUCCCUAGUAGUUGUUAAGCACACGAGAAUAAAGUUGAAGAUCUACUGAAUUAAGCUCUAGUGUACUUGUACACUGACUUUUGGUUAAAACAUUUGCUGAAUUUGUCAUCAGUCCUGUGCAGAAUUUUCUCACCUGAGACAGAUUGCUGGGACAGGGAUGAAGCUCCAGGAUUCCCAUUCUAGUUCUUCUGAUUUUGGGGCUUCUGGAAUGCCUCACAAACUUCAUUUCCGUCAUUUGCUGCUUCUACCAGACCCAAUAACGGUUCUCACCAAGGUGUGUAUCAGAGCUAUAAUUCUCAGCAUGGUGCAUGUUGACCCCAAAAAGUGCGCCAACAGAUGCCGGUCCCACCCGCGCUUGCGUGGGAGAAUGUCCA